Molecule: ribosomal RNA, 234 nt
Filed under: uncultured bacterium
Lineage: Bacteria
Description: partial 16S ribosomal RNA
Rfam family: Bacterial small subunit ribosomal RNA
Source: RNAcentral
GAUCAUGGCUCAGGACGAACGCUGGCGGCGCGCCUAACACAUGCAAGUCGAACGGAGUUGAGAGGAGCUUGCUUUUCUCAACUUAGUGGCGAACGGGUGAGUAACGCGUGAGUAACCUGCCCUGGAGUGGGGGACAACAGUUAGAAAUGACUGCUAAUACCGCAUAAGCGCACAGUACUGCAUGGUACAGUGUGAAAAACUCCGGUGGUAUGAGGUGGAUCCGCGUCUGAUUAG